Molecule: ribosomal RNA, 462 nt
Filed under: uncultured bacterium
Lineage: Bacteria
Description: partial 16S ribosomal RNA
Rfam family: Bacterial small subunit ribosomal RNA
Source: RNAcentral
GACGAACGCUGGCGGCGUGCUUAACACAUGCAAGUCGAACGGAAAGGCCCUUCGGGUUACUCGAGUUGCGAACGGGUGAGUAACACGUGGAUGAUCGGCCCUGCACUUUGGGAUAAGCCUGGGAAACUGGGACUAAUACCGAAUAGGACCACGCGCUUCAGGGUGUUGGUUGGAAAGCUUUUGCGGUGUGGGAUGGGCCCGCGGCCUAUCAGCUUGUUGGUGGGGUAAUGGCCUACCAAGGCGACGACGGGUAGCCGGCCUGAGAGGGUGACCGGCCACACUGGGACUGAGAUACGGCCCAGACUCCUACGGGAGGCAGCAGUGGGGAAUAUUGCACAAUGGGCGCAAGCCUGAUGCAGCGACGCCGCGUGAGGGAUGACGGCCUUCGGGUUGUAAACCUCUUUCAAUAGGGACGAAGCGCAAGUGACGGUACCUAUAGAAGAAGCACCGGCCAACUACGUG